Oryzias latipes (Japanese medaka) is the source of this 70-nucleotide non-coding RNA. NCBI's taxonomy places the organism in Eukaryota, Metazoa, Chordata, Actinopteri, Beloniformes, Adrianichthyidae. The record is from Rfam.
GGUAAGGUGGCCGAGUACUAAGCGGUGGAUUGUAGCCCCAUAGACAGAGGUUAAAUUCCUCUUCUUACCA